Molecule: long non-coding RNA, 203 nt
Filed under: Mytilus galloprovincialis (Mediterranean mussel)
Lineage: Eukaryota; Metazoa; Mollusca; Bivalvia; Mytilida; Mytilidae
Source: RNAcentral
GGGGGCAGGGCCAAAUAAUAUCCAUGGAAAUGAGAUGUGCCAAUGCUUAUACAACUGCAUACCAAAUAUGAUUGACCUACCACUUGUGGUUCACCAUAAACUAGACCUAAUCACAAACUAAUACUUUGUUGACGCCGUCGACGUCGCCGUCGCCGACGUCGGAAACAGCAUAACUAUGCCUCGCUUUUUGACUCCGUCAAGGC